RNAcentral lists this long non-coding RNA (2379 nucleotides) under Mus musculus (house mouse). RNAcentral describes it as "long non-coding RNA chr12:89655722-89658101". The record is from RNAcentral. Lineage: Eukaryota; Metazoa; Chordata; Mammalia; Rodentia; Muridae.
GUACCAGUGUCAUGUAUCAGGUCUACCUCAAGGUGACAGUGAACCCAGGUGAAGAGUAUAGUCACUUUUCAUGAAGUGAAGCCCAUCUCCCUUCUCUUGGUUCUGGAUGUUCUUAGCUGUGCCCUCUGUCUCCAAAUGUGGUCAGUGACACAUGGACACUAAUGUUAGCAAUAAUACUCACCAGAUCCCAAAUACCUUCCUUGUAUUCUGACUGUUGCAUGGAAGCAGAGCUCUGGUCUCUUUUACCACGAUGUGCAAUGUGGCUUACAUUGAGUUCUUCAAAGAUACUUUGAAAUCCUAACCUGUAGUGCCUGUGAAUGGGACCCUAUUUGGAAAUAUGAUUUUUCUACAUAAGCAGAUGUGUUUAACUAGUAAGUUUACAAAGGGUUAUAAGUACAAUGGAAUGUGCCAUGAGGUCCUGAGCUAAAUAGCAACUUCAUAAGCAGACAAGGGUCAUAAACAAGCACAGAAAGCCAAUCCCCUGUGAGAAAACCAAAACACAUAGGUCAAUGUGACAUUACAACAGGUCAGAGAUUAGAAUCAUGCAUUUGUGUACCAAAGCAAACCAAGACUUGCCAGCAGUACAAGAAGCUAGUAGCAAGGCAUGGGGAUAGAUUCUUCUCCGUAGCUCUCAGAUUCCUAUGGCUUUGAUGAUAUUUUAAUUCCAGGUUCAUCUCCAGUACUAAUAAAAAUAUACUACUGUUGUUUGAAAUCAUCCAGUUUGUUAAAUCAUCACUAGGAAAAAAUAUGUGAUAGAAAUUCUAGUACAAUAAUCCAGUCCCAUGCUCCCCUUUACUACCUACCAUGUUUAGUGGUUUUAAUUUAGUUAAUUAAAAUUGUCAACGCCACACAAUCAUGAGUCCCUUGUGAAUAAAGUCUGUGUGGGGGUUUUCCAGAUCAGUUUGGCUUAUGGACUUCUCUGUGGUAGUGCUGCUGCUGGUGGUGCUGGUGUGUGUGUGUGUGUGUGUGUGUGUGUGUGUGUGUGUGUGUGUGUGUGAUGAUUAUAUUAAUUGAUUGUAGGUAGGACCAUGUCUUAGUCAGGGUUUCUAUUCCUGCACAAACAUCAUGACCAAGAAGCAAGUUGGGGAGGAAAGGGUUUAAUCGGCUUGCACUUCCAUACUGCUGUUCAUCACCAAGGAAGUCAGGACUGGAACUCAAGCAGGUCAGGAAGCAGGAGCUGAUGCAGAAGCCAUGGAGGGAUGUUUCUUACUGGCUUGCUUCCCCUGGCUUGCUCAGCGUGCUUUCUUAUAGAACCAAGAUUACCAGCCCAGAGAUGGUCCCACCUACAAGGGGCCUUUCCCCCUUGACCACUAAUUGAGAAAAUGCCUUACAGUUGGAUCUCAUGGAGGCAUUUCCUCAACUGAAGCUCCUUUUUCUGUGAUAACUCCAGCUGUGUCAAGUUGAUACAAAACUGGCCAAUACAGACCAAUUCCCUAGACAGUAGAUCCUGGACUAUGUAAGUACAGAAAGCAAACUGAAUACUGAUAGGCAUGCAUGUAGUCAUUUCUCUUUACCCCUGACUGUGGGUGCUACUAGGUUCUUUGAGUUCUUGUCUUAAGUUCCACUAAUGGUGGACAUUGUAUUAUAUGCAAAGUAAUCCCCUUUUCAAUUCAGUUGUUCUUUGUCAUAGCUACAGAAUGAAACUAUGAUAACCCCUUUCUUCUAAUUCCCCUUGAGUAUGGUCAUUUAACACAAUCCCUUUUCAUUGAACACUUGGAAACAGAAGGCUAGUCACCUUCCUGGCAUUGGAGAAGAUAAGGAAAAUGCCAUUACUGUUUUGUCUUACUCAUGUUGCCUUAUAUUUUCAGGAGUCAAGAACAUGUUAACAAUUUCUAGCAUCAAACUUGUAAGUUUCCUGAUCUUGUUCACAUUGGCAAGUUCAUCAAUGAGUAUUUUCUUAGAACUCUGACUUGUCAGUUAUUUUCAGUGAAUGUGAUUAAAUUAUCUACCAUGUGAGAACCCAAAGAGAAAUAUAAUCUUCAAUAAGCAACCAGUCCACAGAGAUAUAAAGAUUUACAUAGACAUAUUUAUAAAGUGUUAUAAUAUCACACUAAAGAUGUACUUAGUAAUAGAGUGUAUUCCAGUCAGGAAAGUCUUCAUUUACAAGAUAUUUUGAACUUUAUUAUUAAGAGUGGGUAGAAAAAUAGUAAACUCAUAUUAAAUAGUAAAAAUCCUGGUGAAUGUAUGGACUAGGUCUUGUACUACAUGUUUUUCUGUAGCUUCUCAUCAAAUCUGGGAGCUAAGCACUUGUAUAGCAUAGCUGAUGAGCCUGAAAAGAAAGGAUAGUGAAUUAGUUCAAGAAAUUCUGAUGGAGGGGUUGAAGUUAUUAGUUGAAACCAGGCAUACAGCAUUUGUUCUUUCAACUACAGUGUGCUAAUU